This is a non-coding RNA of Macaca mulatta (Rhesus monkey), 6031 nucleotides long. Lineage: Eukaryota; Metazoa; Chordata; Mammalia; Primates; Cercopithecidae. The record is from RefSeq and is a predicted model, not a curated record.
AGAGAGGCUUGGAGGGGUUUGUGGUCCCCUCUCAGCCACCCCGAAAUGAUGUGCAGAAAUGAGGCGAUCCUGGCAACAGGUGGAGUGGGGGUCAAAGAGCCAAGUUAGCCCAGAUGGCAGCAAGACGACGGAACUUCUCCGCCCCAACCUGACGGCAGAUGCCGCCUGAGUCACCUCCGGGCGGCUCCUAGCCCUCCCUCAUCCUGGUCCUGCCUCAGGAAGCUGACUGCUGGGAUCUGCUCUCUGCGCGCGGCCAGCAGUGGGUUCGGGACUUGGCUUUCUUUAUCUCCAGUGCGAUCAAGAGCAGCAACUAGCUCUCUGGGGAGCAGGCCGCAGCUCCUAGGAUUCUGGCCCCUAGCCUAGGCCCAGGGACAUUGGAAAUUAGGGGCAAGUGAGGAGGAAACAGAGCUGAGCUGUGAAAGAAAGCUAGGACUGGCUCAAAGGUUGGACCUGAAAGUUGGGGCUGAUGGAUGGCCCAUGGCAAAGUCUUAGGAAAGCGGGGGGGCUUUGGAGGGUUGCACUUCGACCGUCACCGUCUUCAGGAAACUCUCUUUGGAUUCCAAGGUUAUGUUUUCCCCGCUUUCCGACAGUAUUGGCCUGGCAGCGACCCACACCACUGCACGCCGCUCUUUUUUCUCCUCUUACCCGCCUGCAGGUUGGGGGAGGGGUGAUUCAAAAGGAGGGCGAAAUGCCAAGCCUGAUCCUGCAGGUGAUCUACUGAUGCAAACUCUAUUCUGGGCACCCGGAGGCUGCCCACACUUACUUCAGCCCCGAGCUGGGAAACCCAAGCUUCUCCCUCUAGAGAAUAGGAGAAUGAGUAAAAGCCCCUGCACAAUCCAGUCUCAGCAAACUCCUGGCCCUUGAGGGUCGAAUGGAGGGAAGCCAGGAAGGUGCGGGGUGCAGAUGGGGAAAUCAGGCAGCGGGCAAAGGCCGAGGUCAGGUUCCUCUCUGGCUCGGAGCUCCCAGCCAGCUUUCAGGGUUUUUGCUCUGCGCCCGCCAGCGACAAGUUACAGCGGAGAGGUGGGCAUGCCUUUCCCGCUGCCGGCUAAUCAGUAAGCAGCAGCUCGGGAACUGAAGUCUCUAACUGCAGCUGACCUCUGACCUUGGGUAGUCCUGCGCCGGCUAGGUCGGCCCCACAACUUGCAGCUUCCGAGGCUCCCCCAAAUAAAAAUGGUGCUUUUUGCACCUACCCACUGUCCCACCUUUUUGGCUCUCCUCCGGCACUAUCAAUCACUGGAGCUCCCUGGCACCAGUUCCUCUUCUCAAGGUGGGGGCAGAAGGGCAGAUUCCAAAAAGUCUCCAGGAUGUGCUAUGGACUGGUAAUUAGGAGGCCGUGGUUGAGGUGGGGAGCAAGCCUUUGGGGAAAACGAAACUGAGUUUCUACAUGCCGUGGUUAUUUGAGACCUCAGGUCCAGGGGCCUCAGGAUUGCUCCCAAAUUUUCUCACCUCUCCUUCAGCAAGAUGACUGGCUUGUUUGCUAAGCGGUGUCAGAGUUUGCACGAAAGGAGAUGUUUACCCUGGUUCCCUGUGUAGGCUGGGUGAUGGAAAUGCUACAGAGAGACUCCUAAGGUCCCAGUUGCCUGCCCUAGCCCGACCUCUGCAACAUUUGUUUGCGUGUCUAUGGGUCUGCAGUGCACAAAAGGCUGACAAGACCUGGAGCAGAAGUGAUCCAUACCUCUUAGAAGUUGGGUUGGAGCAGCCUUAUGGGUGGACAGAGAUCUCUAGGGAACCUCACACCCAUUUCCCCCAGAAGCAAAAGAGUAAAUUCUAUUGUUGCCAACCAACCAGGACUUCUCCAUGCCAGACAUCCUGCCAUGAGGAAAUUUCAGAGCGAGGACGCCCAGCAUGCCGCCCUUCUGUAGGAAUGCAAAGUUAGGCCUCCUUUCUUUCCUGAUUUGCACUGGAAGGAGCUUAUUACCUUUGGGGAAGAAUGCCUUUUGGUUAGAAAUAAUUGAAAAUAAUAAUACCCUGUGGGAAAAGGCUCAAAGUCAGAAAAUGAGAUACAAGACAUCCUUGGUGAUGAGGAAACGAUUACGGCUUUACCGAAACACUCUGAAAGAGUCAAGUAGCAGCUCUGGACACCAUGGCCCCCAGCUCGCCGCCGCCUCCAGCCCCUCGGUGUUCCCGACCCUCCAUGAGGAGCCUCCCCAGGCCUCCCACAGCCAUCCUUUGAAUGGACUCCUGCGUCUGGGGCUCCCUGGAGACAUGUACUCGCGGCCAGAACCCUUCCCGCCAGGGCCUGCGGCCCGCAGCGACGCCCUGGCAGCUGCCGCAGCUCUGCAUGGCUACGGGGGCAUGAACCUGACGGUGAACCUCGCUGCGCCCCACGGUCCUGGCGCUUUCUUCCGCUACAUGCGCCAGCCCAUCAAACAGGAGCUCAUCUGCAAGUGGCUGGCGGCCGACGGCACCGCGCCCCCGAGCCUCUGCUCCAAAACUUUCAGCACCAUGCACGAGCUGGUCACGCACGUCACCGUGGAGCACGUCGGCGGCCCGGAACAGGCCAACCACAUUUGCUUCUGGGAGGAGUGUCCGCGCCAGGGCAAGCCCUUCAAAGCCAAAUACAAACUUGUAAAUCACAUCCGCGUGCACACGGGCGAGAAGCCCUUCCCUUGUCCUUUCCCGGGGUGUGGGAAGGUCUUUGCUAGAUCAGAAAAUCUCAAAAUACACAAACGAACUCACACAGGGCAUCGCAGCCACCGAUCCCAGCCCCUCCCGGGCCUAUCCCAGCCACCCGGUCGCCCUCCAGUCUGCAGAGCCGGGCCUGCCCUGACAGCUGCAGCUGUUCUCUUCCCGAAGCCUCAGCGCUCAAGGGCGUGGUUGCGAUAGAGACCUCGGAUCCCACUCGGCCUGUGCGGACCCUACUGCGCCAACCCCUCGUCUUAGGCCCGAGAGACCCGACAGCCAGGCGAGAAGCCCUUCAGAUGCGAGUUCGAGGGUUGUGAGCGGCGCUUCGCCAACAGCAGCGACCGCAAGAAGCAUUCGCACGUGCACACUAGCGACAAGCCAUACACGUGCAAGGUGCGGGGCUGCGACAAGUGCUACACGCACCCCAGCUCGCUGCGUAAGCACAUGAAGGUGCACGGGCGCUCGCCGCCGCCCAGCUCUGGCUACGAUUCGGCUACACCGUCUGCCCUCGUGUCGCCCUCGUCAGACUGCGGCCACGAGUCCCAGGUGGCCUCCUCGGCGGCGGUGGCGGCGCGUAGUGCCGACUUGAGCGAAUGAUGUCCAUCGCGUUGCUCGCAAGGUAAUCUCGCUCCGCGCAGCUGAGCGCCCCGCAUCUUGCGCCUGCUACAUCAAAGGGCCCGCGCACAAAGCAGUGUUUCUUCGCCACGGUGCAUCUUCAUGGUAAGUUAGGAUUUCUAUGGCAAUGGGCAAGUCUCACUGAAAUCCUGAAAGGCCAAGCCUGGAGCCCGUCCAGGCUUUUCAUUAAGGACAUAAUAUUUACGUCUAACAGACCUUUUUUCUUGUGUAUACAAGUAUAUAUUUUUGUUUGACGCGGACUAAAUCAUUUUCAUUUAAUUUCCGGUAAACAAAACCCACGCGAAUGGGCACUUGUACCCGAUCAUAAUAAAAAUGGAUAAUAAUGUGAAGGAAGAAAAGAGCCGCUUGAAUCGCCGCUCAGCCCCCUUUGUUUCUGCUUUCUGCGGUGAUCAGAGGGCGCAUUUGGGUUUGAUGGCGAGUUUCUAAAGGCGAGGAAAUGGUUUGUAAGAGGGGAAAGAAAAGGAGAAAGGUCUAAUCAAGCUUGGGUUGUUCAAAGAGUCGGGUUUUGGGGUUGAAAGUGUGAGUUUGACGGUGCAUCAGCAUGCCGCGUUAGGCUCGCCAUGGAAAUACGCGCGGGGAGCGGCCGCUUCAAAGGCGGCACACUUCACUACAGACACUCUAUUAAGAUACAUUUGCGCUGACCUUUGCUUUCACGCCAUUUAAUACUGUCACUGCGCUCUCCAGUAUAUACUUCCUUCCUAGAACCCGACUUGCCCGCGUUUAGGGGUUCACCCUGCACCCGGAUGUGGGAGGCUUUGGAGCAGGGGACACUUUCAGGAAAGGGAGGAGCACAAGGACUCUGUGCAUCUUGACUGCGCACCAAAGAGCUCCAGGAUCAGGAGUGAAAGAUUUUAAAGCAGCCUCCGAAGCUUAACAAAUGAGCAUUCCAAACUCAGUUUUGUGCAAAUCGCCUUUCUGACUCUUGAGUAGGAUGGAGGCUUAAGUUUAAUGGGGACUUGUGGGGAAGGGAGCCACCCUGGGGGAGUCUGAGGAGUUCAGUCUGUGCCCUUGGGACAUUUCCACUCUGGCUUUCCUUACCACUCUUCUUCCUCUCCAUCCCAUAAGUCUCUUGCGGCCCCUCAAACUUGUUUCUUUCUAAGGCAGGGUGUGUGGUACCGUUAGGCCUGGACUUGUCCUAGAUGCAAACUCAAGAGCCCAAGGCCAAGGGGAUAUGGGGAAGAUGGCAGGAAAGUUAGAAGUCCAUGUUCCCUUAAUUGUCUUGUUGUUUAUUUUAUCCAAGUACCCCAGUGAAUAGGGGAAAAAUAAACACAGUGAAAAAAAAAAUCAAACAGUGGAGUCUUCUUUAGUGCCAGUCCUUGUGGUUGAAUAAAAAGGAUGGUCCGCUUUCUAUUGAGCUGAGAAAUCUUUGAAGUGGGAGUUAUUAUCUGAGACAUUCCUGCUUGUCGUCCUAACAACGCUGAUGAAACGUAAAAGGUUCUUUGUCAGCGAUUUGUUCUCCUCUCUGUCAAACUCCCUCUGCCCCGUUAGUUUCAAACCGUUUCUAAAGAGAUAAAAAUCAAACUUCUUUUAAAAAAAUAUCCACACACUGCACCAAUACAUAACUUUAGGACUAAGUCUUGCUAAGGGAUAAACAAAAGCAAUGCCUAGACAUCAGGGUCAGGGCCUGGCCUGGUGAAGUAUGCAGAAGUUGGGGGACCCUCGGGACAAGCUUUGGGACAUGAGGAAAAGUAUGCAGAGAGGGUCCAAGCAGAAUACAUACCCUAAGCCCAUAAUUGUAUGUCUGCUUUCUUCUGCUCCGACUUGCACUCAAUCAGCCCAAGUUGGUUCACCUGGAUGGGUUCCUUUGGGUACCCCUCAAGCUGCUAAUAUUCUUGCCCAGGAUCCUUGGAACUUAAGAUUGCAGCCAAGCAAUUGUUAAUAUCUCCUGCUCCUUCAAAGCCACCUCUGCUAAAAAUAGACCCAUUGUGUAUUUCUUCUCACUAGCAGCAAUCAACAAGCCCUUUCUGCCAUUAAUAAGAAGGAGAAUAGCUGAAGGAGAGAGAUGUUUUAUUAAUUUCCUGUUUCCUUCAGAAUCUUGGCAGUUGAAACUUAGAAGAUUUGGUCUACAACAUAGUGAUCGAAAAUGCAUGCAAAUGCCCAUCCUUCCCCUCAUUCACAUGUGCAGUUGUUCAUUUUAUAUUGUGCCCAGGAAAGAAACUUUCACCCAGUUCAGGUUUCCCCAAAACUCCUGUUGUGGUUUUAAAGGUGGUUUAAAUAAAUAAGGAUGUGCUGGUCCCGCUACACUGUGUGUGCUGAAUAAAUGACUUGUAAAGUUUUUCCGAGCUGUAACCCAUGCUGUUAUUAUAGUUGCUGCAAAAUGUUGUUUCUGAUAUUGAUUUUAUUUGUUAACUGGAGGUCUCCAUAUGUUUGUUUAUAUUGCUAAUUUAUGAGAAAAUGUAAUAAUCGCAAUGAAUGUGAAUUAUACAGACAGGCAAACAUUUUGUAAUCAUAAUUCACAUAUACACAAAAGCCUGGCUGAAACCUUAGACUGUUUGUACCCUCUCUACCCACACUGUUUGUGAUUUAUCAUCUGUCUCCUUAGUGUCAGUUAAAUUAUGAACUAACUUGAAAAUAAAAAGUUGUUUGACUGAAAGUGAUUGUUGAAUGAACAACAAAGUUGAAAGCCAUGGCUUGAUCUUGUAAAUAUGUAAAUGUAAAUGAUAUUAAAUCUGUGAUUCCUUUUCCCUCCAAAGGCCUUUGUGUACAUGGCACUCCAUUUGGCUAUUUUCUUUGGAAAUAAAUGAUGUGAUGUUCCCCUUCCUCUUUUGAA